Molecule: long non-coding RNA, 2872 nt
Organism: Betta splendens (Siamese fighting fish)
Lineage: Eukaryota; Metazoa; Chordata; Actinopteri; Anabantiformes; Osphronemidae
Source: Ensembl
CAUUGCUUUGCCAGCUGAGAUCAGCAUUUGUGCAGAUGAACAGGUCUUGGCGGGAGUAUGUGACGGCAGCAGCUCCAUAUGACCUGGCUGCCAUUGGCUUAGUGGAAAAUGAAAGCACGCCGUGAAUGAGCUGCCGUGGGACGAACCUGUCGCCCUCAGAGCGUCUCACAGGCGCAGGCACGAGCAGGAGUCCUAGACGGCGGCGCAGAGGCUGGAGGCUGGAGAUGGAGACGCUAAAAAGAGUAUUUUCUCGUAGGACUUUAAGGAGGGGGUCGAGCAUUCUGUCCACGUCAGACAACGUGCAGGAUGAACCUAAACCGGAAGAAGCCCUCCCCCUACAACUGAACCACAUGCCCGAGAAAGAGCCAGCGCAGAAGGAGCAGGAGGAGCAGGAGGAGCAGGAGACGGUGCCGUGUAGGAACCUCUCUGAGCUCCUUCAGAUGCGUCCUGGUUCAGACGUCAACACAUCGGUGGAUGGAGUCCCUUGCCUUGAGUGCACUGACUCAAACUCAGAGCAACAAAAUCAAAAUCAAGGCGGCAAUUGCCUCGUUCAGUUAUAUGUAUCCCAGCAGUUCCCAGAACCACCAGAGAACCAGAACCUUCAUCAGCACCUGCAGAACAUCCAGACCACUGUGCUCAACGAGCUCACGGGGCUGAGUCCUGUGUUGGAUGAGCGUCUGAUGGGUCAUCUGAUCAACUGCUACCAUAGACAGACAUUUAACCAAAUGCAUCGUCUGCUCCAGAACAUCAGCUCCACCCAGAACCACUUUGUGCUGAUGAUGUGGGUCCUGAAAACCUACCUGAGUCAGGAGCUGCUCGGACACCCUGACCUUCAAAAAGUAGAUCCCAUCAAAAACAUAGACCUGCUGCUGUUUACAGAGUGGGAAGCGAAGGCCAGAGACAAACUGCUUCAGAGCGUGCAUGAAGAAGUCAGCGACUCCCUGGAGAACAUCCUGCUCAAUGAGAAAACCCAUGAACAAUGCAACAGUGAGGAGGAUUAUGUCAGAGUCUUCGUGGACACAAUUCAGUGCAUCAAAGCUGUGCACAAAGCAGCACAACAAAUCAGCUCAAAGCUGUCUGAUGAUGUUCAGAACGUUUGUUUUCAGCAGCUGCUGGUUUUUGUAAAGAGGUACUCAGACGAGCAGACUGAGGGUCUUGGAAAGAAAGCAGCGAUGCCAGAACCAGAAACAAUUCAAUUCUUAAAGACUCUGAAAACCUGUAAAGAACUCAAACUGCACGUUCAAGUUGAAGCUGCUGGAGCUUCGUAUUCAGGGAAAAUUGUUGAAACACUGGACAAGCUGGAGGUUUUCACUCUGAACCUGCUCCUGGACAUCGUUGAUAAAAUGGCAGAGGCUAACCUCAGCACGUACUUCAAAUCAGACAGCAAGUGUUUCUCCUUGCUUCCUGCAGUACAGAAACGGUUUCCAAAGCAGUGCUAUGGUGCAGAUGAACAGAAGAGGGUUUUGAACAAGGCCUACAAGCUCAUAGUUCAGAUUUAUGUCAAACAUCUGAUCAAGACCAACAAGCGUCAACUGGAGAGUUGUUGGAAUCCUGACGUCAGCAAAACCAUCGGUGAAGAUGCUCAUGGAAUUCACAGCAUCAUGUCAGAGCUGGCCCCCGACGUUCCACAGCAGAACCGACUACUGCUGAAGGUCAAGGAGCUGUUGGACUGCGAGUGCAACGAGGCGCUGAAGCUCACAGCUGCGACCAUCCAGGAAGACUUUGGGUAAAUCAGUACAAAUUAUUAAAGAAUUAGGAUUAAGGAAAAAUGAUUAAAGAGCAGACACGUAGACACAGGAUAAGAGAUAAGCAGCAGCUGAUUCUGUCUGUUGCUGAUAAAUCCAGGAGAAGCCAACUUGUUGAGCCUGCCUCUGGUGGUACACUGGUGUAACUGCACCUGUCUAACUCUCCUUUCGUUCUUGACUGCAGCAAGGACCCAGAGCUCCUGCCUGCCCUGCUCAAGUGGAAGGGCCUUCCUAAAGGGCAGGUGAGGGAGGUGCUGGAGACCAUUCAACACGACUACCACCACCAGUCCUGUUGCUCAUCUGUGAAAUGCUGGUAAAGACAACAGGAGGGGGGUGGUGGUUACUCCUGGUGGACUCCCUACAGACCGGGGUCCUCGGGUUCCCCUCUCCCAGGCUGGGAGUGUUUGCCUCUGGGUCUCCUGGGCUGCUGCAGCUCUGCCCGGGGGUUCUGUGUUCUGUUCCCUCCUGGAACUGAAGGUGUGUGGGCUCCCUGGCUACUGGGUUUCCUCCCUGUGCUCGUUGACUGUGUGUAGCGACUGGGUUCCUCCCAUCAUCACGGCUUGUACAUGUGGCAUUGUUCAUGCACCAACGUCUGUCUCACCUUUUGGGUGAACAAUGUUAAGCUACAGCUUUACUAACCUUGUAGUGGGACGCUCAACACCUCAGCUGAUAAACAGGCUUUGUAAACUUAGCUGUAAGUAUUACUGGUACUUAUCACCAUCAAUAUCAAUAAUGUGUAAUUAUGGUAGUUGUGAUGUUAUGUCACAGCUAUUAUUAAGUAUUAUGCGAUUAUGUAUAAUAAUAUUUAUGCAUAGAUGUGUAUGUACAGUAUAUUAUAUAUGUCUGUAUGCACAAGUGUAUGCACACGCCUUAACACAAGUAUUAAUAGUAAUUUAACAGUUAAAGCACAGUACAGCAGUUAUUUACUUAUGAACGUGUCCGCCUAAGGUAUUUAUUUAUUUAUUUAUUUACUCUAUUUACUGUAUUUCCUAUUUUUUUGCUUCAUUGAUUCGCUUGGUCUCAGUAGGUUUUGCACUCUCUCUACUACUUCCUCUGUAGACUCACAUCCUUCCCAGAUUAGCUGGAAUUACAAUAAAAUGACAGGACCUUGGCUUAAUGACGACUGU